CUUGGUGUUUAAUACGCGUGAGGUAUACCUGUUCCCAUCCCGAACACAGAAGUCAAGCCACGUCGUGCCUAUGGUACUGCAUUUCAUGAUGUGGGAGAGUCGGUAAACGCCAAGA
Molecule: non-coding RNA, 115 nt
Organism: Candidatus Gracilibacteria bacterium CG1_02_38_174
Lineage: Bacteria; Candidatus Altimarinota
Source: Rfam